GAAGGAAUGGGAAAAUGUGGAAUAUUCAUUUGGCAGAUGGACAGGUCCAUGGAGUCCACAGCACCGGAGCUCCAGAGCAGGGGCUCACUUCCACCCGCCUGGCCUUAAUCACAGUCACGAGUCGAGUCGCCCAGUUUGGCAGAGACAAUCAUUUGUUAUUUGAUUUGCACAUCAGCCGGAUGUGGACGCGGAUACCCAAGCAGCCGGACAGCCAGGACGAAUGCAGGCAGUCCGGCAGUCAGUCAGCCAGCUAGUCAGCCAGGAUGUCAGGGCAUGGAGAAGCCAGGGGCCCGCAGCAGCGGAUGAGUUGGAGAUCCUCGGCACAAACAUUGCAAUUUCCAGGCGCCACUCGAUGGCCGGACAUCGUUGAUUGUUGCUGCUGUCCAUUUUCGGCGACUCCAAUUUAAAGGCCGUGUCGCCUGGCCCGCAGAUACACACUCAGAUGCAGAUACCCGUGGCGUUGACGGAAUGGAUUGCAUCCAGUCGGCUGGAGAGGCACCAGAUGGCAUCGACGAGGUGCUGAUGAGCCGCAGCUAGAGUCAACUGAAGUCACAUUUGUACUGCACUUGUCAUCCAUCCAACCGAUUGGGUUCCUCAACAGAAAGUUCGUUGAAGUGCGAGUCUUUUAAAUGGUGUCUUUU
This 641-nucleotide long non-coding RNA is filed under the name Drosophila melanogaster (fruit fly). RNAcentral describes it as "long non-coding RNA:CR44820 (Dmel_CR44820)". The record is from RNAcentral. Lineage: Eukaryota; Metazoa; Arthropoda; Insecta; Diptera; Drosophilidae.